UGAGGAACAUGACCUUCGGCGGGGGAUAGCCGGCCCAACGGCCGGGUAAUACCGCGUACGACCUUUUGGGGACAUCCCCGACUGGUGAAAGCAGCAAUGCGCCGAUGGAGUGCCUCGCGGCCUAUCAGCUAGUUGGUGGGGUAACGGCCUACCAAGGCGACGACGGGUAGCUGGUCUGAGAGGACGAUCAGCCACACUGGGACUGAGACACGGCCCAGACUCCUACGGGAGCAG
RNAcentral lists this ribosomal RNA (234 nucleotides) under uncultured bacterium. Its description in RNAcentral is "partial 16S ribosomal RNA". It matches the Rfam family "Bacterial small subunit ribosomal RNA", at positions 118 to 347 of the family's 1533-position model. The record is from RNAcentral.